UUUAACAGCCAUAUCACCCUGCAACUCACAACUGGCAGCCCACUGAAGCUCAGCAGGUGUGAGCCUGGUCAGUACCUGGAUGGGAGACCUCCUGGGAAAAACUAAGGUUGCUGCUGGAA
Lepisosteus oculatus (spotted gar) is the source of this 119-nucleotide ribosomal RNA. Lineage: Eukaryota; Metazoa; Chordata; Actinopteri; Semionotiformes; Lepisosteidae. The record is from Ensembl.